AUGCAUGGCCGUCGAAGAAAAAUUCGCAACUUUAUUCGAUUUCAUGGAGCAUGGACAUGCUUCAAAUUCGACGGGUCCGGUAUUCAGUCUCAGCAUCAUAGCGAAAUGUUCACCGGGCCGCUCUCUCACUCCACCUUCCUUAACCCGAAUUCGCAGCCUCCCCGCUCGACUUUGAGCAUAAAGGAGCCACCCUCGUCCCCCACGUCGCACGUGUCUGGCAACACGGGGGAAAACCAGCGCCGCCGCCCAAGUUCCGCUCUACACCGUCACUCCCCGCAGCGCCGCCGCCGGAGGGCUGGCCGGCGAAGCGCGCCGCGCCCAGGGAAGGUGGCGGCGAGGCGGUCUCGUUCCCCUCUUCAAGCCAGGACCCCUCCCCCAACCUCGAUCUAG
Molecule: ribosomal RNA, 390 nt
Filed under: Triticum aestivum (bread wheat)
Lineage: Eukaryota; Viridiplantae; Streptophyta; Magnoliopsida; Poales; Poaceae
Description: partial small subunit ribosomal RNA
Source: RNAcentral